UACGGAGGGGGCUAGCGUUGUUCGGAAUUACUGGGCGUAAGGCGCACGUAGGCGGCUUUGUAAGUUAGAGGUGAAAGCCCGGGGCUCAACUCCGGAAUUGCCUUUAAGACUGCAUCGCUUGAAUCCGGGAGAGGUGAGUGGAAUUCCGAGUGUAGAGGUGAAAUUCGUAGAUAUUCGGAAGAACACCAGUGGCGAAGGCGGCUCACUGGACCGGUAUUGACGCUGAGGUGCGAAAGCGUGGGGAGCAAACAGG
RNAcentral lists this ribosomal RNA (253 nucleotides) under uncultured bacterium. RNAcentral's name for it is "partial 16S ribosomal RNA". It matches the Rfam family "Bacterial small subunit ribosomal RNA", at positions 524 to 776 of the family's 1533-position model. The record is from RNAcentral.